AUGGCUCUGGAGAUGAAGGUAAAACACAAAAUGACCGACGCAUGCUUCAACAAGAACAUGUCAUUCUGGCAUGAACGUCUUCCCAAGGGGAACAAGUGCCCGACUAGUGUCGAGGAGGCGAAGAAAAUCAUGUGUCCUCUCGAUUUACCGCACGUGAAAUACCAUGUGUGCAUGAACAAUUGUAUCAUUUAUCAGGACGAGCACGCGGAGUCUACCAUAUGUCCGGUGUGCGGCGUCACUCGAUACAAGAAGAGGAAGAAAGCUCCUCGAAAAUCGGUGUGGUACUUUCCGAUCACUCCUCGUCUGCAGCGGUAUUUCGCGGACCCUAAGGUAGCAAAGUUCCUGCAUAGGCACGCGGAUAGGGAGGAGAAGAAGUAG
This 378-nucleotide ribosomal RNA is filed under the name Triticum aestivum (bread wheat). RNAcentral describes it as "partial small subunit ribosomal RNA". The record is from RNAcentral. Lineage: Eukaryota; Viridiplantae; Streptophyta; Magnoliopsida; Poales; Poaceae.